Molecule: long non-coding RNA, 12539 nt
Filed under: Triticum aestivum (bread wheat)
Lineage: Eukaryota; Viridiplantae; Streptophyta; Magnoliopsida; Poales; Poaceae
Description: long non-coding RNA (TAES_LNC022345)
Rfam family: tRNA (bases 4236-4309)
Source: RNAcentral
GGCCUGGCAUAUCUCUCUCUCCCUCACCCAUCCUUCUCCAACUCCGGCCGCCGCCACGGCCAGGCCGACGUGGUGGUGCGCCUUCGCCUCCCAUCCAUCCACCAGCGCCACCAUCUUCUUCUCCUUCCCCGAAUCCACCAUCAUCCAUCCACACCACCGUCACCAGCGCCACCAUCUCUAGCCACCAGCACCACAGCGCCUCCCCACACCUCACGCAACCCACCAGACAGAUGGUCGGAGGCGUCUGAUGCCCCUCGCGAUUCUCCUCCCCAAAUCUGAACUGCUGCUGCUCCUCCACCUUUCUUCUUCCCCCAAAUUCUGUUGCUGCUCUCUCUCUGACCUCCCCACGCCUCUGUUCUUCUUGCCCAAACCUUGCUGCUACUCUUCUUCUACUGCGCCCCCUUGCUGAUCUCUCACGCUGCUGCUCAUUCCCUCAUCACUCUGUUGUUUUCUUCUUCUCCUGUCGCUGCCCUCUUCUAUCCUUGCCUCUAGUUGCUGCUCCUAAUCUUUUCUGAACCCCAGCCUCCUAUUCUUUCUUCUCCCUACCUCGCUGCUGCUCUGCCCUCUUCUCUGAACCUCUCCUCUUCCUCCCAACGCCCCUUGCUGCUUCUUCCUCCUUGCCUGCUGCUACUCCUCCCCCUGCCUCGCUUCUUCUCCCUCAACCUCCUACUGCUGCCUUAUCUCUCUCUCUCCCUCUCUAAAUUUCUGUAGUAUUGCGAGAUGUUUAAGACUUUGUAAGGUUCAGAUUCGUAGAGUACUUAAAACAUGUUGUUUUCUCAGUUUCGUACUUGUUUUCUAGAGUGUAUGUGUUCAGUUUCAGACUUGUGUUUGUAGUGUUACAUGGUGAUCUGUGAGCUGAACCGUGGCAUGUGUCACUCAGUUUGUAUGCUUGAUAAUUAGCUAUAUAUAUCCCCUGUUCAUUUCUUGCUUAAGAACCUUGUUACAUUGUGUAGUAUUUGUGUUAGCAGUACGUGUGAUAUAUUUAUAUACACGUUUGUGCGUGUCUUUGAUGUGAUGCACUUUAUGUUUUGUCCUACAUACUUGUUUCUUCCCUCUAUUAAUGUAAAAUAGUUAUAUAUAUAUAUGUCCAUGUCUUUUCAACUCCCUAGCCGUUGAUGUAUGCUUGUGUUAGCAUUUUAUUUGUCAACUAAAAUAAAAACACAAAAAAUAUACAUUGAGUAAAAUCUGAAUCUACCUUUGCGCAUCUGCAUUUUCUUUGGCGACAACCCUGUUUAGUUUAGUUUUACUUUUUUGCAUUCAUCACCCGAAUCGUGUUACCUAGCUUUAGCCGAGCAUAGUCAAUGUCGCCUAGUCCCUGUGGGGAACAUGACACUCGUAGUUUGGGGCGUAAAAACCCCGCUAUAUUAUAAUAGACCAUUUUGGCGCCGUUGACGGGGACUAGCGUCGUGUGACUGUGUUAGGCUAUAGACUAGGUUUUUCUUGUUUUCAUUUUGUGACAUCUAUAUGUGAUAUAUCUCUAACCACUAAUCCUUGUUCUAGAUCAUUUUCUUUCUGUUUUCUUUUAUUUUGGCAGGUUAGAACUAUCUUCUCGGUUAUGCUUACUAUUCAGAUCAUCAGGCUUAUGCGAGCAACACUACAAACAGCAUGGAAAGUAUUGAAGAACUGAUAAGUAAGAUUUCCCAUCAAUUAGAUGAUUUAGCUCAGCAGCGAGGAGUAGUUUUUGAGGAUAGGCCUGGUUCUUAUUAUCCUUAUUCCGGAGGCAAUCCUUAUAUUGCUCCUACAUGCCAUAUUUGUGGAUUUCACGGCCAUUCACCCGCUCAAUGUCAGCAUGGUUAUUCUCACACUCCAGAUUGUUUUGGCAUGAGCUUCGCUCAAGAGCAUAGCUCAUACCAAAACAAGUACUCACAUGGGUGGCCUGAAAACCCGAAUAUGUCAUAUAGGAGCAACAACCCUGAGAUCUCACCAUUUGCUUCUAGUAAUCAUAUGCAGGGAUUUAGGUAUGAAGAGGAGAGCCACAAUUAUGCUCCACAACAGUCUUAUUCAGCUCCUAUUCAUAUACCUCAGCACCAGGAGAUGUUGCCAAUGGAGUUAAAUGGUCCUCCAUUUGGUCAACCAACACCUUCAACACAAGUGCCUACUCAAGAUGAGUUCGAUGACAUAGACAAGCUCGCACUUUUGAGUCUCGAGUUCACUUGGAGUGCCGAGGAUGAUCCUAUUAGGAAGGUUAUACUAGAUGAAAUGAAGAAUAUCAAGAGUGGGAAUGAGCUAGUGGAAGAAGUAAAGAAGAUUGAGAAGAACAUCAACGCUGGCAGUACUAUUUCUUCACAGCUUGAGGUGAGUAAUUCUGGGAUUCCCCUUGAUACAUGUGAGGUUCCAAUACCGUCACAUCCAGCUGAGCAAGAUUGCAGGUGCCUUGAGCAUGAGAUACCUCAGAUUGAAGAAGAUGAACUAGAAAAAAAGGAACAAGAUGAUCAAGAGCUACAAUUCCCAAGUGAUCAAGUUGAAGACUCAUCAUCUACUACUCCUGAAGAAGUACAAGAAGCUGCUAUAGAUGAAGAUGAAGAACCUGAGAUUCAUUUUCCUAUUGUCAUACCAGAGCGUGAUGUGUCAGGUUUAUCUAAUCCUCUUAAUUACAUGUCUUCAUAUGAUUUGUUUGCUACUACCUUGCAUUGCAUGAUGCCAUCACUUAAGGUAUAUUUGAAAAACUAUUUGCUUGGACAUGAUCAUACACACCCUGUUAGUGGCAUUGCUCAUAUCUCUGUUCAUGAUACUUAUGUUCCUAUUGCUAUACCCAUGCUUAAUGAAACGUGUGAUUCUAAUACUAGCAUUGAGCUUACUGAUUUGUACCAUCCUAAACAUGUGCUUUAUAGCUAUGCUUAUGUAAUUGGAUAUUCGAUUGAUGACUUGGAGGGUAUUAUCCCUACCACUUGCAUUGUCUCUCUCGUUGAGUGCUCUUUCAGGUUUUUGCUUGUGCACGAUCCAUUACAUGCUGACCAAGUUCGAGGUGACAUUCCUUGGGACCCUGGUGGACUCGGAGCAUGGGGAUGAGGAGAAGCAAGGGGGCACACACGAGGAAGGGAGAAGCUGGAGCAGGCAUGAGGAUAGAGAAGCAAAAGGAGAGGAGCUGCAAUUGGUGAGGUGAUCGAGCGAGUGCUACUUCAUUAAGCCCGGUGAGCUGUUUCAUGACCCAUUCUAAAUAUCAUAAAUACAUGCUGAAUUCAAUUGCUAGUUGGGUUGCUUGAGCCAGUUAUUACUUGUUGUCAAGCUGAAUUUCACCUUUGGCAUUGUGCUUGAUGUGAAUUUGUGAACUUGAUUUUUGAAUGCCUUGUAAACUAGUGAUCUACACCAUGCAUGCUUUGCUGAAAUUAGUGAGAACUACUAGUUUUGAGUGCUCAAAUCCCUAGUACACUAGAAAACUUCGUCAUUUUCUGCAUUUACUAUGAUACACCUAGAUCACCAUGUUUAGAUGCUGAAUUUGUGCCAAGUGUGUUCCCAUUCAGAGCAAGCACCUAACCACUAUGGAUUAGCAUGCUAUGUUCCCUGGAUCGGUAGCAUGUGAACUAGACAUGGAGAAAUGAGGAUUCCUGUUUGUUGUGCUUAUGCAUUGUUCAUUUUAAAAAAGUAUUUCUUAUAAUGAAUAAUUAUCUGAUUUUACCUAACAGUAGCAUGUCAUGUUCCCUGGAUCGGUGGCUUGUGAAAUCUGGUUGGAUCGGAUAGGAGUUAAUGAUAUAAAAAAUGUAAUUGUCAAACCAGGUGUAUACCAUGUUCUCUGGAUCGGUGGUAUGUUCCUUUGGGGAGACAAACUAAAAAAACUAAUAUUUGGUUGAGCCAGGUGUAUACCAUGUUCUCGGGAUCGGUGGUAUGUUCCUUUGUAGAGACUGAUAAAAUAAUAUCUUUGCUUCCUUCAAAUUCAAUAAGUGAUUCAACCACAAUGUUGUGUUCCUGGUAAUAAGUGAUCUGAUCACAAGCUUUGUUCUCGGGAUCAUGCUCUCUUUAGGAACCAUUUGGCACAGUCAUCAUUUAAACUUGUUGAUCCUCUUUUAUCGUUGUAAAGGUUUAAAAUGGUCAUGCUUACUAGUGUCCUAUUGCUCUGUAGCACUCUUAACCAUUAUUUUCACUAGCUAAGUCCACAAGCAUGCAUUGUUUAGAGAUCUACUUCACUUGGACAUUCUCUAGUCAGCUCACUAUUCACUAUCUUGCUCGUCAUAUGCCUUUGCUUGAGGACAAGCAAAGAUUUAAGUGUGGGGGAACUAAAAGAGUGUCCCCCACAUGUAUCCAUUGUCGUCCAGCCCGGUUAGGAUACCUGGCUUUCACCCAGGCGACCCGGGUUCAUAUCCCGGCAAUGGAACCAAAAAUGGACUAUUAUAAUAUAGCGGGGUUUUUACGCCCCAAACUACGAGUGUCGUGUUCCAGGGACUAGGCGACAGUGACUAUGCUCGGCUAAAGCUAGGUAACACGAUUCGGGUGAUGAAUGCAAAAAAAGUAAAACUAAACUAAACAGGGUUGUCACCAAAGAAAAUGCAGAUAAGAAAAGGUAGAUUCAGAUUUUACUCAAUGUAUAUUUUUUGUGUUUUUAUUUUAGUUGAAAAAUAAAUGCUAACACAAGCAUACAUCAACGGCUAGGGAGUUGAAAAGACAUGGACAUAUAUAUAUAACUAUUUUACAUUUAAUGGAGGGAAGAAACAAGUAUGUAGGACAAAACAUAAAGUGCAUCACAUCAAAGACACACACAAACGUGUGUGUGUGUGUGUGUGUGUAUAUAUAUAUAUAUCACACGUACUACUAAUACAAAUACUACAUAAUGUAACAAGGUUCUUAAGCAAGAAAUGGACAGGGGAUAUAUAUAGCUAAUUAUCAAGCAUACAAACUGAGUGACACAUGCCACGGGUCAGCUCAUAGAUCACCAUGUAACACUGCAAACACAAGUCUGAAACUGAACACACACACUCUAGAAAACAAGUACGAAACUGAGCAAACAACAGGUUUUAAGUACUCUACGAAUCUGAACCUUACAAAGUCUUAAACAUCUCGCAAUACUACGGAAAUUUUGAGAGAGAGAGAGAGAUAAGGCAGCAGCAGGAGGUUGAGGGAAUGAGCAGCAGCGUGAUGAGGGAAUGAGCAGCAGCGUGAGAGAUUAGCAAGGGGGUGCAGUAGUAGAAGAGCAGCAGCAAGGUUUGGGCAAGAAGAACAGAGGCGUGGGUGGGGAGGUUAGAGAGAGAGCAGCAGCAGAAUUUGGGGGAAAAAGAAAGGUGGAGGAGCAGCAGUAGUUCAGAUUUGGGGAGGAGAAUCGCGCGGGGCAUCAGACGCCUCCGGCCAUCUGUCUGGUGGGUUCCGUGAGGUGUGGGGAGGCGUUGUGGUGCUGGUGGCUGGAGAUGGUGGCGCUGGUGACGGCGGUGUGAAUGGAUGAUGGUGGAUUCAGGGAAGGAGAAGAAGAUGGUGGCGCUGGUGGAUGGAUGGGAGGCGAAGGCGCACCACCACGCCGGCCUGGCAGUGGCGGCGGCCGGAGUUGGAGAAGGAUGGGUGAGGGAGAGAGAGAUAUGCCAGGCCCGAUGGGGAAUGGAGCCGAUCUAGGGAUUUUGAUCCCCUCCCUGAUCUGCAAACAUUACACAUUAGCCCUCCUCCUUCUCUUCUUACUUCACAAGAAGGUCCUCUCACUUCUUUAGCAGGCCCCCUAGUUACUUCUUUUCAUCUCACUCAAGUAUCUUCUCCCUUCUCUUCUUUUCUUUACUCUUCUCGAUAACCACCUAGACAGAAUCUUGACAAUUAUUGGUGCCUUUGUGCACAUUUCUGCAAGAUAGACCAAAGACUAGUAAAUGAUCUUUUUUUUGAUUAUCAAGCAAUAUUCAAUCAAUCAUGGCAAGAAUGGACGGAUAUAUCACGAUAGAUGCUACAUUUGAGUACCAAAAUUAAAUAUGUGAAAUAUACUUAUCAGUGGUUUUGGUAAUUAAUGUGAACAUAUCUCUUGUUGGACUAACACUGUUAUCUAGUAUGUUUCAGAUAAGUUCAACAAUGGAGUGGCAUGGACUAAAAGAUGUGGGAACUCCUUCAAGGUGCUCAGGACAAAAGAUUGGCUCAAGCUUCAAGCUCAAGACUCUUCAUUUUAUAUUUUAGUGAUCCAAGAUCACAUUGAGUCUAUAGGAAAAGCCAAUACUAUCAAGAAGGGAUGAGGUGUUGCUCAAUGUGUUUCUUGCUCCACAGUGCUUAGUGAUAUGCUCCAAAACCCUCAACUACUUUCCCACUUCCCCACAUAUGACCUAAACCUAAAGUCAAACUCGGCCAUACUGAUUCUUUCUAUCCGGCGCCAUCGAGUUCAGAUGUCAUAGCCACUUCCACAAACCCUAAACAAAUCGGUCUCACUGAUAGGGAUCUCGAUCUCACCGAGCUGGGAUUGUAAUCUCUCUGUGUAUGUCAUUUACCAAAAUCGUUCUCACCAAGUUUGAGCAAUCGGUACUACCGAUAUUACAAUGCAAACUUCCUGGUUGACUCAUUACCAAAAUCGGUCCUACCGAGUUUGUGUAAUCGGUCCAACCGAGUUUGCCUGACCAACUCCCUGGUUAGCUAAUUACCAAAAUCGGUCUCACCGAGUUUGUGUAGUCGGUUCGACCGAGAUUACAUUAUGCCCUAACCCUAACCAUAUCGGUCCUACCGAGUUGCAUAUCGGUCCCACCGAAAAUCCUAACAGUCACUAGAUUUACUAAAUCGGUCCAACCGAGUUUCUCAAUUCGGUCCCAUCGAGUUUGGUAAAUUGUGUGUAACGGUUAGAUUUUGUGUGGAGGCUAUAUAUACCCCUCCACCUCCUCUUCAUUCGUGGAGAGAGCCAUCAGACUAAACUUACACUUUCAGCAUACAUUUUCUGAGAGAGAACUACCUACUCAUGUGUUGAGGCCAAGAUAUUCCAUUCCUACCAUAUGAAUCUUGAUCUCUAGCCUUGCCCAAGUUGCUUUCCACUCAAAUCUUCUUUCCACCAGAUCCAAAUCCCAUGAGAGAGAGUUGAGUGUUGGGGAGACUAUCAUUUGAAGCACAAGAGCAAGGAGUUCAUCAUCAAUGCACCAUUUAUUACUUCUUGGAGAGUGGUGCCUCCUAGAAUGGCUAGGUGUCACUUGGGAGCCUCCGACAAGAUUGUGGAGUUGAACAAAGGAGUUUGUAAGGGCAAGGAGAUCGCCUACUUCGUGAAGAUCUACCGCUAGUGAGGCAAGUCCUUCGUGGGCGACGACCAUGGUGGGAUAGACAAGGUUGCUUCUUCAUGGACCCUUUGUGGAUGGAGCCCUCCAUGGACUCGUGCAACCGUUACCCUUCGUGGGUUGAAGUCUCUACCAAUGUGGAUGUACGAUAGCACCACCUAUUGGAACCACGACAAAAACAUCUGUGUCUCCAAUUGCGUUUGAAUCCUCCAAAACCCUUCCCUUUACAUUCUUGCAAGUUGCAUGCUUUACUUUUCGCUGCUCAUAUACUCUUUGCAUGCUUAAACUUAAAGAAGUUAAAAACUGCAACUUUGAUACUUAGUGUCUAAUCACCCCCCCCCCUCUAGACACCUCUUCUCAAGGUCCUACAAGUGGUAUUAGAGCAUUGGUCUCCAUUGCCUUGGUUUAAUCACCAUUGGAGGAAGAUGGAUGAGUCUACUUUGGGGAGUCUUAGACAUAGAGUGCCUAUUCUUGAUGAAGAGUAUUUUCAUGAGUGGAAAAAUGAGAUGCUUGUAAUCUUCAAUCAAUAUCAUUUGAACAAGUACAUUGCUAGCCCUUGUGUACCUCAUGUUGAUCCUAUGCAUCCUACUCUUGAUGAGUCAAUUGACAUGGUUAGGAAUCUUAGAACUGCCGAACUUAUUAUUAGAGGAUUCCCUAGAAACUUGAUUGGAUGUUUACCUACUCUUAAGUGUGCCUACACUAUAUGGAAAUUUUUUGAGGAACGCUUUCCAAAUUAUUCCUUGAAAAAUCUAGAUGAAAUUCUCCAUAAGAAUAUUGCUUUGAGUAAGAUGAAUACUAGUGGUCCUAUGUUUGGUGAUCGUCUAUUUGAACUUACAAACCUUAUGCAUGCCAAAGGAGAUGUUAGGAUUAUUAGUGAUAUUAUUUCCGAAGCUAUAAAAAUUCAUAAGCAAGAUCAUUGUCAAACUCACUCUAACGAAUCACCCUCUCUAAGAUUUGAUCCACCACAUGACUAUGUUGAACAUGGAUACUAUGAUGAGGAUGAUGAUAGUGACUUCGAUCUUGAUGAUGCAAUGAGACAUUUUGGUCUUAUGGCAAAUCUUCGGGGAUAUAUGUCAGAAGGAAAGGAAUGGGUUCUUGAUAGUGGAUGUACCGAUCACAAGACCGGAGAUAAAGACAUGUUUUGUGAGCUUGCUGAAAACGAUAGUCCUCGAAAGUAUGUCACUUUCGGUGACAACUCAAAGGGUAAGGUGGUUGGCCUCGGUAAGGUGGCCAUAUCACAUGAUAGCUCCAUACAAAAUGUCAUGCUCGUUGAAUCUCUUGGCUACAACUUACUUUCAGUAUCUAGGCUUGCUGAUUUUAGUUUCAAUGUCCUAUUUACUGAAGUAGAUUGCCAAGUGUUUCGUCGAGAUAAUCAUAAAAUGGUCUUUACCGGUGUGCGUAGAGGGGAUCUAUACAUUGUUGAUUUCACUAAAAAGGCUCAACCUAAAACUUGCUUCAUUGCUAAAACCUCAAAAGGUUGGUUAUGGCAUAGACGACUAGGUCACGUUCGUAUGAGAAACCUUGACAAGCUUAUUAAAGGGAAUCUUAUCCUUGGUGUUAAUGAUAUCAUAUUUGAUAAGGAUAGACUUUGAAGUGCUUGUCAAGCAGGUAAACAGGUUCGAGGAAGGCAUCCCGUGAAGAACAUCAUGACCACAAGAAGGGCACUCGAGCUACUUCACAUGGAUCUUUUUGGUCCCAACUCUUACAAGAGUCUCGGUGGAAAUUCUUUUGGUCUAGUUAUAGUUGAUGAUUUUUCAAGAUUUACGUGGGUGUUCUUUCUCGAUGAUAAAUCGCAGGUCCAAAAGAUCUUCAUAAACUUCGCUAGGAAGGCCCAAAAUCAAUUUGAAGUGAAGAUCAAGGAGGUUCGCAGUGACAACGGAACGGAGUUCAAGAAUGCAAAUGUGGACACCUUUCUUGACGAAGAAGGGAUUUCACACAAGUUCUCGGCUACGUACACACCUCAACAAAAUGGAGUUGUUGAGAGGAAGAACCGGACGCUCAUCGAAAUGGCUAGAACGAUGCUUGAUGAGUACAAGACACCGAAGCACUUUUGGGCAGAAGCGAUUGAGACAGCUUGUCAUGCAACAAAUCGCUUGUAUCUUCACAAGCUACUCGGCAAGACGGCAUACGAGCUCCUCACCGGUAACAAACCCCAAGUUGGAUACUUUCGAGUAUUUGGCUCAAAGUGCUACAUUCUUGAUAAGCAUUGUCGUUCUAAAUUUGCUCCUAAGUCUCAUUAAGGUUUCCUACUAGGUUGUGGCUCAAACUCUCACACUUACUGUGUCUACAAAAAUUUCACCCGAAAGGUUGAAGAGAUGGUAGAUGUGAAGUUUGAUGAAUCUAACGGCUCGCAAGUAGAGCAAUUGCCAAUUGAUGUAGGAGACAAAGAUCCUACGGGAGCAAUCCAAGACUUGUCUAUUGGCAUGGUUCGUCCAACGGAGGUGAAGGAGAGUACCUCGUCCGUCCAAGUGGAAGCUUCUACUUCACGACAAGGUGAACCAAGAGUUGAUACAGAAGCAUCCACAAGUGGGACACACCAAGAUGAAGAAAACGAGGAAGUGCAUCAGGAUGAACGUCAACAGCCUCCUCCACCACGACAAGAGAACGACAACGCCAACAAUGAAGAAGGCCAAGAAGAACAAGAUGAAGAAGAAGUUUAACCAAGAACCAAGCAAACGCUUUCACAAGUUCUAGAAAGAAUUGCUCAAGACCAUCCCAUCGAGCAAAUCUACAAUGACAUUCAAACCGGGAGAAUCACUCGCUCUAAAACUAGUUUAGCUAACUUUUGUGAAAACUAUUCUUUCAUCUCUAGCAUUGAACCUAUGAAGGUUGAAGAAGCAUUGGAAGAUCCGGAUUGGAUAAAUGCUAUGCAUGAAGAGCUACACAACUUUGAGAGGAACCAAGUUUGGACAUUGGUUGAGAAGCCCGACAACAACCACAACAUCAUCGGUACCAAAUGGGUGUUUUGCAACAAGCAAGAUGAAGAUGGACAAGUAGUUUGCAACAAAGCACGUCUCGUCGCCCAAGGCUACACACAAGUCGAAGUGUUUUGCAGGUUAAGAGGAGAAUUGAACAUCAUUUAUGCUUCAAACUUGGAGUAGAAACUCCAUUGGAUACAUGCAAGACAUGAGCUUAUGACUAAUCCUUGAUAUUUCUCUUAUGAUGGAAAUCUUGUGUCUUGGAUCUAUUUGUAUCUUGCGUGUUAUCUAACCCAUGUAGGUACUUGGAUGAAUCUAAUUCCAUGAGGUUGUAACCUACUCAUAUCUUGAGCAAUCUCUACAUCACCAAGUCUCUACACAAAGGUGGUUGAAGACACGGAAGCACGAAACCAUUCAAACAUAUCCUUUGACAAAUUCUAUGUUGAGCCUCAUGAUUGUCAUUUUUGGAUACACAAGUGCUCUUCCUUGCAAAAACUAACCCAUGUAGGUAGAUGGACUCAAAUUCCAAGUGGUGCUCCAAAUUCUUGAUGAGCUACAUCAACCUUGAGUAACCCACACAAGUUCAACUACAUGGACAACACCACUAACCAAGGUAUGUUAUUCCAUCUUAGAGAAGCUUUACUCCGAGUCAUGAGCUAAAUCCACUCGACAAGAUGUGAAUACAUCAAGAUGCUUAAACGGCAACCCCGUUUUGAUCUUAAACGAUGAGUAUGACCUAUGAUCAAGUGAUCUCACUUGACUCCUAAGUCAAUAUACUCUAACACAGGUGACUUUGUCGCCGACCAUCUCUAGAUGAAGUUCUCUUAUGUUCUUUUCUAUGUUUUUGCAUUUGUCUCAUGCAUAUUUGUUUCCCCUUUUCAAAAAAAAACUUCAUCUAGAUUUUUUUCUAUUUGCUCUGCAUUUUCUGCAUCCAAUUCAUUGCAUAUCAUUCAGUAAAUUCCUUGCAAAUCUUUGUGAGAUCCUAUUAGUCUAGUGAGCUGAGGUGACAACUGUUUUUUCUGCGAUGAACUCGGUUUCACCGAUUUGUUGUUUUCAGUCCAACCGAAUCCUUUCGGUACCACCAAAGCAUACCACUCGGUGCCACCGAUUUCACAACAGGAAAAAUAGCUUGCCACUUAUUCUGUGUUUCUUCUGAUCCAACUCCACUCAAUGAAUCUUGUCCUCUACAAGAAUCACAUUUUUAUAAUUGCUAUGUGCUAUGACUCAAGGAUCAAACCCUUCUUGGAAAUUGAGGUCAAAGGGGGAGAGAGAGAUCACAUCAAAGCUUAUCAUUUAGAGAGACCACAUUAGAAAAAGAGAGUAUAUCACCUCCUCAGGGGGAGAAAGAGAUCUCCAGGGGGAGAGAAUACUCAAGUAGAAAGUAUUUCUCAAGGAUCCCAAAUGCUUGGUGUUCAAGAGGAGAGAUUCCACAUGUCUUCUUGAGGGGAAAGACAUGUUCAUAUGUGCUUAUUUGCAUUAGCUUGCAUUAGCUCUGUUCAUUUAUAUCUUUCAGCUCUGAUUUUCUGUUCCCUAUCUUCUCCCAGUAUCCCAUGCUAGAUUCAGGGGGAGCAAGACAUCUAAGGGAAAGAAAUCAUUUAAAUUCAUUACAUAUCUUUACUCUUGGGGACAUGUCUAAUCCAAUGUGGUACUUAGUACUCACUCUCUACAUGUCAUCCCAGUCUUGGUAUUCUUGUGGUUUCUUCUGUUUGCUCUAGCUAGUAGAUGUACCUAUGUUAUCUAACCUUGUUUUCGCAGGUUCAUUCCAUCCUAAGCCAACUCAAGACUACAAGGUAAGUAUAUGCAUCACAAUCAUGUGUAUGAGGGAUUCUUGUUGUUGUACAUAUUGUUUGCAAGAAGGACCCAUGGGCAUGAAGGUAUUUUCUUUAAUAUUCUUUGCUCUGAUGCAUAUCGCCAAGAUACAUGUAACACAUUGCCUGCUCUAUCAUGGUUAUGCUCUCACAUGCUUCUAUAUUCCAUAGUCACAUGAUUGCAUACAUGUAGGGGGAGCCUAUGCUUGUUACAUGUCUUUCCAAAGCUUUACUUGCUAUUCUUUAUAUCUUUAUAUAAAGCUUUGAUGUAUGUUGUCAUCAAUUACCAAAAAGGGGGAGAUUGAAAGCACAAGUGCUCCCUAGGUGGUUUUGGUAAUUAAUGUCAACAUAUCUCUUGUUGGACUAACACUGUUAUCUAGUAUGUUUCAGAUAAGUUCAACAAUGGAGUGGCAUGGACUAAAAGACGUGGGAACUCCUUCAAGAUGCUCAGGACAAAGGAUUGGCUCAAGCUUAAAGCUCAAGACUCUUCAUUUUAUAUUUUAGUGAUCCAAGAUCACAUUGAGUCUAUAGGAAAAGCCAAUACUAUCAAGAAGGGAUGAGGUGUUGCUUAAUGAGUGUCUUGCUCCACAGUGCUUAGUGAUAUGAUCCAAAACCCUCAACUACUUUCCCACUUCCCCACAUAUGACCUAAACCUAAAGUCAAACUCGGCC